AAAUCAGUUAUCGUUUAUUUGAUAGUACCUUUACUACUUGGAUAACCGUGGUAAUUCUAGAGCUAAUACAUGCUAAAAAUCCCGACUGUUUGGAAGGGAUGUAUUUAUUAGAUAAAAAAUCAAUGCUCUUUGAGCUCUUUGAUGAUUCAUAAUAACUUUUCGAAUCGCAUGGCCUUGUGCUGGCGAUGGUUCAUUCAAAUUUCUGCCCUAUCAACUUUCGAUGGUAGGAUAGUGGCCUACCAUGGUUUCAACGGGUAACGGGGAAUAAGGGUUCGAUUCCGGAGAGGGAGCCUGAGAAACGGCUACCACAUCCAAGGAAGGCAGCAGGCGCGCAAAUUACCCAAUCCCGACACGGGGAGGUAGUGACAAUACAUAACGAUACAGGGCCCUUUCGGGUCUUGUAAUUGGAGUGAGUACAAUGUAAAUACCUUAACGAGGAACAAUUGGAGGGCAAGUCUGGUGCCAGCAGCCGCGGUAAUUCCAGCUCCAAUAGCGUAUAUUAAAGUUGUUGCAGUUAAAAAGCUCG
This 526-nucleotide ribosomal RNA is filed under the name uncultured eukaryote. RNAcentral's name for it is "SSU rRNA". It matches the Rfam family "Eukaryotic small subunit ribosomal RNA", at positions 103 to 630 of the family's 1831-position model. The record is from RNAcentral.